UACGAAGGGGGCUAGCGUUGCUCGGAAUUACUGGGCGUAAAGGGCGCGUAGGCGGAUUGCUAAGUCAGGGGUGAAAUCCCACGGCUCAACCGUGGAACUGCCUUUGAUACUGGCAAUCUCGAGUCCGAGAGAGGUGAGUGGAAUUCCGAGUGUAGAGGUGAAAUUCGUAGAUAUUCGGAGGAACACCAGUGGCGAAGGCGGCUCACUGGCUCGGUACUGACGCUGAGGUGCGAAAGCGUGGGGAGCAAACAGG
Molecule: ribosomal RNA, 253 nt
Filed under: uncultured bacterium
Lineage: Bacteria
Description: partial 16S ribosomal RNA
Rfam family: Bacterial small subunit ribosomal RNA
Source: RNAcentral